This 1960-nucleotide ribosomal RNA is filed under the name Bacteroides ovatus. RNAcentral's name for it is "partial 23S ribosomal RNA". It matches the Rfam family "Bacterial large subunit ribosomal RNA", at positions 1 to 1963 of the family's 2925-position model. The record is from RNAcentral. Lineage: Bacteria; Pseudomonadati; Bacteroidota; Bacteroidia; Bacteroidales; Bacteroidaceae.
GUUGAUAAGGUUAAGUGAAUAAGGGCGCACGGUGGAUGCCUUGGCACUAGGAGCCGAUGAAGGACGGGACUAACACCGAUAUGCUUUGGGGAGCUGUACGUAAGCUAUGAUCCAGAGAUUUCCGAAUGGGGGAACCCAGCAUCUUUAAUAGGAUGUUACGAUUGUGUGAAUACAUAGCACAUUCGAGGUAGACGCAGAGAACUGAAACAUCUAAGUACCUGCAGGAAGAGAAAGAAAAUUCGAUUCCCUGAGUAGCGGCGAGCGAAACGGGAAAAGCCCAAACCAACAAGCUUGCUUGUUGGGGUUGUAGGACUCCAAUAUGGUCGUUCUUUCAGAUAGUCGAAUGACUUGGAAAAGUCAGUCAAAGAGGGUAAAAACCCCGUAGACGAAAUGUGGAAGACACCUAGGAGGAUCCUGAGUACGGCGGAACACGAGAAAUUCCGUCGGAAUCCGGGAGGACCAUCUCCCAAGGCUAAAUACUCCCUAGUGACCGAUAGUGAACCAGUACCGUGAGGGAAAGGUGAAAAGCACCCCGGAAGGGGAGUGAAAUAGAACCUGAAACCGUGUGCCUACAACAAGUCAAAGCCCGUUAAUGGGUGAUGGCGUGCCUUUUGUAGAAUGAACCGGCGAGUUACGAUUGCAUGCGAGGUUAAGUUGAAGAGACGGAGCCGCAGCGAAAGCGAGUCUGAAUAGGGCGUUUGAGUAUGUAGUCGUAGACCCGAAACCAUGUGAUCUACCCAUGUCCAGGUUGAAGGUGCGGUAAAACGCACUGGAGGACCGAACCCACGUACGUUGAAAAGUGCGGGGAUGAGGUGUGGGUAGCGGAGAAAUUCCAAACGAACUUGGAGAUAGCUGGUUCUCUCCGAAAUAGCUUUAGGGCUAGCCUCGGAAUUGAGAAUGAUGGAGGUAGAGCACUGUUUGGACUAGGGGCCCAUCUCGGGUUACCGAAUUCAGAUAAACUCCGAAUGCCAUUCAUUCAUAUCCGGGAGUCAGACUGUGAGUGAUAAGAUCCAUAGUCGAAAGGGAAACAGCCCAGACCACCAGCUAAGGUCCCAAAAUAUAUGUUAAGUGGAAAAGGAUGUGGGGUUGCACAGACAACUAGGAUGUUGGCUUAGAAGCAGCCACCAUUUAAAGAGUGCGUAAUAGCUCACUAGUCGAGUGACCCUGCGCCGAAAAUGUACCGGGGCUAAACAUAUUACCGAAGCUGUGGAGUACACCUUUAGGUGUAUUGGUAGGAGAGCGUUCUAAGGGCGUCGAAGGCAGAUCGUGAGGACUGCUGGAGCGCUUAGAAGUGAGAAUGCCGGUAUGAGUAGCGAAAGACAGGUGAGAAUCCUGUCCACCGAAUGACUAAGGUUUCCUGGGGAAGGCUCGUCCGCCCAGGGUUAGUCGGGACCUAAGCCGAGGCCGAUAGGCGUAGGCGAUGGAUAACAGGUUGAUAUUCCUGUACCCGUUGUUUUUGUUUGAGCAAUGGAGGGACGCAGGAGGCUAAGGAAUGCAGACGAUCGGAAAUGUCUGUCCAAGCAGUAAGUCUGAAGAGGAGUCAAAUGCUUCUUUUCUUAAGGACAAGCUGUGAUGGGGAGGGAAAUAAUAGUACCGAAGUUCCUGAUGUCACACUGCCGAGAAAAGCUUCUAGUGAGAAAACAGCGGCCCGUACCGCAAACCGACACAGGUAGUCGAGGAGAGAAUCCUAAGGUGAGCGAGAGAACUCUCGUUAAGGAACUCGGCAAAAUGACCCCGUAACUUCGGGAGAAGGGGUGCUGAUCAUACGAUCAGCCGCAGUGAAUAGGCCCAAGCGACUGUUUAUCAAAAACACAGGUCUCUGCAAAAUCGUAAGAUGAAGUAUAGGGGCUGACGCCUGCCCGGUGCUGGAAGGUUAAGAGGAGUGCUUAGCGCAAGCGAAGGUACGAAUUGAAGCCCCAGUAAACGGCGGCCGUAACUAUAACGGUCCUAAGGUAGCGAA